AACAAAGUCGGACUAUAACAAAGUCGGACCAAAACAAAGUCGGACUAUUACAAAGUCGGACCAAAACAAAGUCGGACUACCGAUAAAUAGAAUAUAACUCGGUCAAUUUAAUAAUGACAGAUAAUGAUCCUUAAAGAACAUAACCUUGGUCUGGAAAAACGAUUGCUGCAACCACUGGCAACACAGAAUAUGCGAUACCGAAUUUCUGUGCGUGCGUACAGAGAGAUGUUACAGAUGUUACAAUUCACUUCACCUGCACCAGAUGCAAGGGAAGCCAAGAAGAAACAAUCAGUGGUCAAGGGAUUCAACUCAUAUAGUCUUUGGACACAACACCAUAAUACAGGGAGUUUGACGUUUCUAUCAUCCUGGGUGGUAUGAGUGGCAGCAAUUCCUGACAGUAUCGCAGCUUUUGCGGGAGUGUGGAGGAAUCUAUGGGCCAAACUGACUGAUAAUCCCUGAUGUGUCCGAGUGUGUGAUAUGCCAAUGCGUUGAACUUUGUGUAUGAUACUGUGAUGUGCUUGAUUGUAAACCUGAUCUCUUUUAUCUCUGUGACUGUCUUGUAUAAUAUCACUGUUCUUUAUACCAUGGAAAAUAAAAUAUUUAUUUUGAAAACAUAUGUUGGCCAUUUCUCAUCCUAAAACAUCAUUUACGCAUAUAGUAAUCUAGUAAAUAUUAGUUUAGGCAUAUAAUAAUCUAUUUUUUCAUCAAUCGUAUAAACAAUCAAUCACAAGGGCGAAUCCAGGUUAAUUU
Ostrea edulis (European flat oyster) is the source of this 750-nucleotide long non-coding RNA. RefSeq lists it as uncharacterized. The record is from RefSeq and is a predicted model, not a curated record. The transcript has 3 exons. NCBI's taxonomy places the organism in Eukaryota, Metazoa, Mollusca, Bivalvia, Ostreida, Ostreidae.